GGUUUGUUGUAUUUUGUGAUAAAUUUGGCCUGCUCAGUGUAGUUAUAAAUAGCCGCAGUAACUUGACUGUGCAAAGGUAGCAUAAUCAUUAGUUCUUUAAUUGGGGGCUGGGAUGAAAGGUUUGACGGGGAUAAGCUUUUUUGAGCUAUUUUUUGAAUUUUAGUUUAUUGUGAAGACGCAGUAUUAAAUUUAAUUGACGAGAAGACCCCGUAAAGCUUAAGGGUGAGUCUGGUUUUUUAGGCUUGCGUGUUUUGUUGGGGCAACAUAGUUAAUAAGGUAAUGGUUAUGGUUUUUGUAUUUUUUUCUAGUCUUGUUUGUGAUCCGGGGUUUCUGAAAAUAAGAUAAGCUACUUUGGGGAUAACAGCGUAAUUUUGUUGGAGAGUUCUUAUUGAUAAUGAAGUUUGCGACCUCGAUGUUGAAUUAAGAUACCGUUUGGCUGUAGUCGGUCUUUGCGGGGGUCUGUUCGACCUUAAAAUUCUUACA
This 483-nucleotide ribosomal RNA is filed under the name Strigamia crassipes. RNAcentral's name for it is "partial large subunit ribosomal RNA". It matches the Rfam family "Bacterial large subunit ribosomal RNA", at positions 1828 to 2600 of the family's 2925-position model. Lineage: Eukaryota; Metazoa; Arthropoda; Chilopoda; Geophilomorpha; Linotaeniidae. The record is from RNAcentral.